This 30-nucleotide small RNA is filed under the name Bombyx mori (domestic silkworm). RNAcentral describes it as "ovarian small RNA-33513". The record is from RNAcentral. Lineage: Eukaryota; Metazoa; Arthropoda; Insecta; Lepidoptera; Bombycidae.
UGCAGGAGGCUACCUUGUGCCUCGGUUGGU